Molecule: ribosomal RNA, 253 nt
Filed under: uncultured bacterium
Lineage: Bacteria
Description: partial 16S ribosomal RNA
Rfam family: Bacterial small subunit ribosomal RNA
Source: RNAcentral
UACGAAGGGGGCUAGCGUUGUUCGGAAUCACUGGGCGUAAAGCGCACGCAGGCGGAUUGAUAAGUCAGGGGUGAAAUCCCGGAGCUCAACUUCGGAAUUGCCUUUGAUACUGUCAAUCUCGAGUCCGGGAGAGGUGAGUGGAAUUCCUGGUGUAGCGGUGAAAUGCGCAGAUAUCAGGAGGAACACCGGUGGCGAAGGCGGCAUCCUGGACCGGUAUUGACGCUGAGGCGCGAAAGCCAGGGGAGCAAACGGG